UAAUCAAAUAUAUUUGUAAUUCUUAAAUUGUAGUUUAUUUCACAUUUACUGUUUUGUUAUUUCUGGUUUGUUUUUACAGUUUUUAGCCUUAAGAGUGUAUAUUAUUUAGAUAUCAUAGUUGCACAUUUCCUCAUUAUGACAUCUGCAGUUUAUUUGUGAUGAAAUUCAUCCUGUCAAUUUUUGUAAGAAUAAUCAAUAAUCAGUAGUGCUUCAUAUGUUAAAAAAAUGUCAUAUUCUGACUGAAUCAUAUUGCAUUUUCAGGGGUGGAGAAAGCAUAAAUUGUUAUUUUAUUUUUAAAAUCAUAUGAAAUAUUUGCAUUUCAUAUUCACUGAACUUCUUCCUUAUGUCAACAUAUAAAAUUCCAUCCAAUAUGUUUAUAUAUAUACUUUUAGAAUCAAAAUUUGUUUUGAAAUUAUCUAUGAAAUGAAUAAAUGAUAACUGAUUCCCUUGCUUAUGAAAAUGGAGUGUACCAAAUGAUGUGGGCACAGCACCUUCAGCUUAUUGAUUUUAAAGUAAAUUUUUGAUAAUUCAAUUUGAUAUUUUUUAGAGUCUAUAUGUUAAGUAUUUGCCAAGGUGGAAGAGCACACUUCUCAGAAAUGUAUGUAUAUACAAAAUUGAUACUGAAGUUGUAAACAACGAUCAUUAUAAACUUGUCCCAUAGUAUAUAGUUACUGAUAGCUUGAUUGUAAUAGCCUUUUAGUUCCUACUGUCAUCGGCUGUUUAGUGUUUCUUUUAACAUUAUUUUACACUGCAAACAUUUAAAUUCACAGUUCAUAUGCAUGACAGCAAUAAAGUUCAAAAAGGUAUAUGCAGAAACAUAGCUACCACCUUUAUUUCACAGAAAUUAAUACUUGUAUAGGAGUUGGAGAUAACGUGCAAAAAUUAUAAUUUUUUGUUAACGAGUGUUGAUCUUCAGUUGUUAUUACUCUUUCUUGGACAAUAUCCAGGAGAGUUUGUCAAUGUCCAGAAGUCAUGUGCCCGAUUUGUUGAGGUGGUGAGCGAUCGGAUGGAUGGAAAUGGGAAUGUUGCAAUCUGAUGCUGCUACACAUCUCAAUAUCUCUUGUAGUGUGGCCCACCAACUAUUAUGGAAUCAGUUUGAAUCUGAGGAUUCUGUGUCUAGAAGACAUGAAGAUAUGUUCCAGGCAGACCUAGAGUUACAGCACCUGUAGGAAACUGUUAUUUAGCUCUUUCGGCCUGAACGAGGAGUAACAUUAUUGUGCUUCAGCUAAUGGCAGGCGGAAACAAGUGGUGGCAAUAGGAACAAGAAUCUCAGCUACUACAGUGUGCAGACGCCUACACAAUACAGGUCUGUAUGCAGGGCAACCAGUUGUUUGUGUCCCCUUGACCUGAGGACUUUUUUGUUCUAUGUUGCAUUCUCAAAUUAGACACAAAAAACCUGCUGUUCCUUAACUUUUAGAGGUCAGUGUAUUUUGGAAAAAAUUUUAUUUGUAGACAGUUUUGAGAAAAUGAUGUGAAACAUGAUGCAUUAGAAAUAUUUCAUAAACAGCAGUUUUUCUUCUCCCUCCUGAAUUAUUGAAAUAUUCUAUAAGUAGGUGAUCGUAUUGGUCAUAAAAAUGUUUAAAAUAAAAAAAGGUGCCUUUACGAAUAUCUCCUAUGAAUAGUUUAUUAAAAUUUGAAUGAUGUUCUGAAUAUUGUCUUAAAAAUUUCAAGGAAAGAAUACAUUACUAACUUCCAUAAAAGUCUUCCCCGUAUAACUCAUUAGUAAGGUUUUCCUAUUGUACGUCUGCGUUCUACAAAUAUUGUGUAGCAAAAUAAUAAUAAUUUCGCUAUUGAUGCCCAGUGUGCUUAUAUUAGUUAUAAAGGAAAAUUUGCUUUGAAUAUUCAAUGAUAGAGAGCUUUCAGAGGUGAAAGUGCCUUUUAUUUUUCUUUUUUUACAAUUCUUCCCAGGGGUUUAAUUACAGAAUCUACAACUUGUCAGGCCCCAUCAAGAGACAACUUUUUAUGACAACUGGAUGAAGCUGCACAGUAUAUUGCAGUUGAAUGCCUGUCAACAAAUGACUUAGGUAAGUGAUGCUAAAAUGGAAAUUUUAGACAUUGUGGAUAGUACUCACAGCUGUUUGAAGUGGAAAAUAAGUGCUUGAAGAGAAGUCUUUACAUCUUGCUAAAUAUCAGCCACUACCUCGGUUGGAGUGAUAUGGUAGUUGCUCGUUGUUGGCAACAGUGGAUCACAGAAGGCACACCUCUCACCAAUAGAGCACAUUUGGGACAUGUUUGGAAAGCAUCUGCAUCCAUCCUGAAAUACUGGUGAAUUAACUGCCCAGUGGCAAAGAUUAUAGCAUAAUCUUCCUCAGAGGGUCAUAGGUGACCUACUUGAUUCUUUGCUACACACUGUGUUUCGGCAUGUAUAGCUGCAGAGGUGGCUAUAUUUCUUACUGAUUUGUAACCUUUUUCAUUCCAUAACUUCUUAAUAAAACAAUCUUUUAUUCUGAA
Long non-coding RNA from Stegodyphus dumicola, 2451 nucleotides. Lineage: Eukaryota; Metazoa; Arthropoda; Arachnida; Araneae; Eresidae. The record is from RefSeq and is a predicted model, not a curated record.